CAGUAGCCGCGGUAAUACGUAGGUGGCAAGCGUUGUCCGGAAUUAUUGGGCGUAAAGGGCUCGCAGGCGGUUUCUUAAGUCUGAUGUGAAAGCCCCCGGCUCAACCGGGGAGGGUCAUUGGAAACUGGGAAACUUGAGUGCAGAAGAGGAGAGUGGAAUUCCACGUGUAGCGAUGAAAUGCGUAGAGAUGUGGAGGAACACCAGUGGCGAAGGCGACUCUCUGGUCUGUAACUGACGCUGAGGAGCGAAAGCGUGGGGAGCGAACAGGAUUAGAUACCCCGGUAGUCCCUGUCUCUUAUAC
This 301-nucleotide ribosomal RNA is filed under the name uncultured bacterium. RNAcentral describes it as "partial 16S ribosomal RNA". It matches the Rfam family "Bacterial small subunit ribosomal RNA", at positions 509 to 807 of the family's 1533-position model. The record is from RNAcentral.